UGUCCAAGGCUAGUAUUACCCUUGGACACUUCUGUAUCAUGUAACA
Small RNA from Firmicutes bacterium CAG:124, 46 nucleotides. It matches the Rfam family "ssNA-helicase RNA". From Rfam's summary of the family: Firmicutes, Actinobacteria (1 example). Downstream gene The record is from Rfam. Lineage: Bacteria; Bacillati; Bacillota.